This 460-nucleotide ribosomal RNA is filed under the name uncultured bacterium. RNAcentral's name for it is "partial 16S ribosomal RNA". It matches the Rfam family "Bacterial small subunit ribosomal RNA", at positions 338 to 795 of the family's 1533-position model. The record is from RNAcentral.
CCUACGGGCGGCAGCAGUGAGGAAUAUUGGUCAAUGGACGAGAGUCUGAACCAGCCAAGUAGCGUGAAGGAUGACUGCCCUAUGGGUUGUAAACUUCUUUUAUAUGGGAGUAAAAUGUUCCACGUGUGGGAUUUUGUAUGUACCAUAUGAAUAAGGAUCGGCUAACUCCGUGCCAGCAGCCGCGGUAAUACGGAGGAUCCGUGCGUUAUCCGGAUUUAUUGGGUUUAAAGGGAGCGUAGGUGGAUUGUCAAGUCAGUUGUGAAAGCUUGCGGCUCAACCGUAAAAUUGCAGUUGAAACUGGCAGUCUUGAGUACAGUAGAGGUGGGCGGAAUUCGUGGUGUAGCGGUGAAAUGCUUAGAUAUCACGAAGAACUCCGAUUGCGAAGGCAGCUCACUGGACUGUAACUGACACUGAGGCUCGAAAGUGUGGGUAGCAAACAGGAUUAGAUACCCGGGUAGUC